This is a non-coding RNA of Oryzias latipes (Japanese medaka), 1570 nucleotides long. The record is from RefSeq and is a predicted model, not a curated record. Lineage: Eukaryota; Metazoa; Chordata; Actinopteri; Beloniformes; Adrianichthyidae.
GGCCCAGCGCCACAUGUCACAGCACGUCCUGUCUGACUUAUUGACAAAUAAACUCACAUGUCCCACUUUGAGCAGAGUGGGUUUCCAGUUUAAGUGGGACAACAGUGGAGUUGAGUGACUUUUCCAAGGAAAAAAACAAUCAAGUCAACAGAUCGACUGAAAUUUUAAUGCGGGGUCCUUCCUGAACAAAUAUGUGAGCUGUGAAAGCCGGACGUGUAAAGGAGGAUGUAGGGCACAGGGCUGAGACGGGCUCACAGGGGUCACCACAGUGAAUGAGGUUCCUCCAUCUGACCCUGCCUUCAGCGUCCUCUACUCUAACACCAACUACCUUCAUGUCAUGAAAAUGUUACAUAAAUCUAAGACACAACAAUAAAAUCAAAGGAUCUGUUUUAGCAAUGGGUCCAAACUGAACCACCUCUUUCUUUGUAGAGUGAAGAUGUGAAUUGAUUUUUCAUUUUUUAAGCUUAUGUUGUAGGAAGACACUGUACAGGGGCGUAGUGGUUUGCGCUCUCUACUCACAGAUUGAUUGAUGACACUAAAUUGCCCCUAGAUGUGUGUGAGUUUGAGUGUGGGGCCUUACAGCAGAGGGUGUCCUUUUCCCAAAAGUUGAUGGGUUAGAUCCAGCGACCCUGUGACCCCAAAAGGGAUCAACCAGGUUCUGAAAAUGAAUGGAUGAAUGUUGUUGGAAGGCUAACUGCUACCCCUCAAUUUAGCAAGUGGAUAUCAGCUGUGAUCUGGCUAGUGCAGCUUUCCCACUAACCAAUCCCUCAGCAGCUGUUUGGUUCCUGCUCCUCAUGCCUCUUUCUCUCUCUGCUGUGUCUUCCUUACUCUUUGCGCUCACUGCUCUGUCACAGCUUGGAAUUUUCCAGUCUGCAGCAGGAGACCAUUGCAGCCAGCUGGGCUGUCAAUUGUAAUUUAUGCUCAACUCUCACACUGUUUGCACACACUCCUAUUCUCCCAGCCAGCUUUUUUUGGUGUGUGUUUUUGCACAGCGAUAGACUCAUGUGGACUAGCAAGACACCUCACAGUGCGCUUAGCAUGUUUAGCUCUGUGCACCCUGCAGCAGAUCCCAUCAUCCUGAAGGCACUGUGUACAUUAAAGCUCUGCUAAAACAACCAAAGGAAGCUUGGUGCACAGGGUUGGUUAUUUGGGCAGUCCAGCAGAAGUGCGGAUCCACACUGUGGGCCUCAGCAACCUUCUACACUUUCACUGCUUUUCCACAUAGACUCUCAUCUCAUGCAGUCUUUGGAAUUUGCUCCAAAAGAAACAAACUUGUCUUUUAUGUCUGUCUUUCUUUCGUUCCCUGUUUUGUUUCAUUUAAUCUCACAGCUGAAAUCCUCCGAGGGCACACAUGUACAUGUAACAUGUGAUCUGUACACAUCCGAGGUUUGUAACUGUUAGCGACACAUUUCCCAGCUUCAGCUCAGAGUAUGUUAGGCCUGCAGAAGUAUUUUAGAUUUAUCUAUUAAAAGUGAUCUUCACUCCAGAUGCAAUAUGGAUUUAUAAAAGCCCUUAAUCUGUUUUCCUUUCAAUAUUUUUUCUACUGAAUAAAUCAUUAUAACUAUGUGAA